UCUGAUUGUCUGCUCCUGUGGUGU
RNAcentral lists this non-coding RNA (24 nucleotides) under Mus musculus (house mouse). Lineage: Eukaryota; Metazoa; Chordata; Mammalia; Rodentia; Muridae. The record is from RNAcentral.